This 231-nucleotide ribosomal RNA is filed under the name uncultured bacterium. RNAcentral describes it as "partial 16S ribosomal RNA". It matches the Rfam family "Bacterial small subunit ribosomal RNA", at positions 103 to 334 of the family's 1533-position model. The record is from RNAcentral.
CGGGUGCGGAACACGUACGCAACCUUCCUUUAACUGGAGAAUAGCCCCUCGAAAGAGGGAUUAAUACUCCGUAACAUGAUGAUAAGGCAUCUUAUUAUUAUUAUAGCUCCGGCGGUUAAAGAUGGGCGUGCGCCUGAUUAGGUAGUUGGCGGGGUAACGGCCCACCAAGCCUGCGAUCAGUAACUGGUGUGAGAGCACGACCAGUCACACGGGCACUGAGACACGGGCCCG